RNAcentral lists this ribosomal RNA (253 nucleotides) under uncultured bacterium. RNAcentral's name for it is "partial 16S ribosomal RNA". It matches the Rfam family "Bacterial small subunit ribosomal RNA", at positions 524 to 776 of the family's 1533-position model. The record is from RNAcentral.
UCCGUAGGGUGCGAUCGUUAAUCGGAAUUACUGGGCGUAAAGCGUGCGCAGGCGGUUUUGUAAGACAGGCGUGAAAUCCCCGGGCUCAACCUGGGAAUGGCGCUUGUGACUGCAAGGCUGGAGUGCGGCAGAGGGGGAUGGAAUUCCGCAUGUAGCAGUGAAAUGCGUAGAUAUGCGGAGGAGCACCGAUGGCGAAGGCAAUCCCCUGGGCCUGCACUGACGCUCAUGCACGAAAGCGUGGGGAGAAAACAGG